RNAcentral lists this small RNA (125 nucleotides) under Marmota monax (woodchuck). The record is from RNAcentral. Lineage: Eukaryota; Metazoa; Chordata; Mammalia; Rodentia; Sciuridae.
ACAAGGCAUGGUGGCGCAUACCUGUAAUCCCAGAGGCUCAGGAGGCUGAAACAGGAGGAUCGUGAGUUCAGUGCCAGCCUCAGCAAUGGUGAGGCACUGAUCAACUCAGUGAGACCCUGUCUCUA